AUUGAACGCUGGCGGCAUGCCUUACACAUGCAAGUCGAACGGCAGCACGGGUGCUUGCACCUGGUGGCGAGUGGCGAACGGGUGAGUAAUACAUCGGAACAUGUCCUGUAGUGGGGGAUAGCCCGGCGACAGCCGGAUUAAUACCGCAUACGAUCUACGGAUGAAAGCGGGGGACCUUCGGGCCUCGCGCUAUAGGGUUGGCCGCUGGCUGAUUAGCUAGUUGGUGGGGUAAAGGCCUACCAAGGCGACGAUCAGUAGCUGGUCUGAGAGGACGACCAGCCACACUGGGACUGAGACACGGCCCAGACUCCUACGGGAGGCAGCAGUGGGGAAUUUUGGACAAUGGGCGAAAGCCUGAUCCAGCAAUGCCGCGUGUGUGAAGAAGGCCUUCGGGUUGUAAAGCACUUUUGUCCGGAAAGAAAUCCUUGGCCCUAAUACGGUCGGGGGAUGACGGUACCGGAAGAAUAAGCACCGGCUAACUACGUG
Molecule: ribosomal RNA, 486 nt
Filed under: uncultured bacterium
Lineage: Bacteria
Description: partial 16S ribosomal RNA
Rfam family: Bacterial small subunit ribosomal RNA
Source: RNAcentral